GGUUUAUCUAACAUAAACAAAUUCAGCAAUGCAGAAUACACAAAAAAAUAAAAGAUCAGCCCUGGGUGGCAUUUCUACUAAAUAUCCAUUUCUUGUCAUAUCUUAUCAUGCAAAGAAAAAUAUUUUCUACUUUGGAACUAAAAGUAGAAAUUGGCAGAGAAUGGAGUUAAUUGUUUUAACAUCACACAGAAUGCAUCACUGUGUUCACGUUACAACCCUUUCAGUUUUUAACCUAUUGAAGAAACAACUCAAUUUCAGCAACAACUCAAGAAGCAACUAUAUUUACCUAAAUCAAGAAACAACUCUUGAGAUACUGGAAAAAUAUUUUCACAGUUAAAUCAGUCAAGCCACAACUCCUCAAAAUAAGUUUGGCUAGAUAACAAAUGGUGAACUAGAUAAAUGACUAAUGCAAAGAAGCAAUGACUGAUGAAUAUGCCUUUAACUGAGCAAUCCAAAAAGGAUAGGAGAAAUAAAUUACUAACUUCAUUAGAAAGCUGAAAGGUAGGAUGGGUUUUUUUUAAUUUAGUUUCUUCUCUUCCUAUUGCCUAAUUUUCCAAGUGGGUCAGAAGAUAAAGUAUAUAACCUUCUGAGCUCAAGGCUUUUAUUCCCUACUUUGGGAUGGAAGUGAUGGGAAAAUAGAAGAACUUUGUUUCCAGCUUCCCUGUCAUAGGCCCCACACAUUCCUUUUUACUCUCUUCACAGAGAAGCAACAGCUGCAGAUAUUAGCUUAGUUUCUCUCUAUGGCAGAGGGUGCCUUGCCAUCUCGGGAGCUAAAGCAUUAUAGCCAGAAUAGUUUAAUUCUGAAAUGUUAAAACUCCAGAGAAGGAACAUAGUGUCUGGACUGCAUGGCCAAAUAUUUUCAAAUACUGACAAGCAAUGAGGUCCUGCGUGUUUAUAUCCUAAGUAAGGGGCGUGCAUAAGAGCACAAGCGUGCCUACCGUUCCUAUCCUACUGUUUCCUUUUGUUAUAUCCAAUUAAAUAUAGUUAUUACAUACUCAUACAUAUAUAUGCUUAUAUAUUGUAUAGUUAUUUCAUGCUUAUGCUUAUAUAUACUGUGUGACAAAAUAAAUAAAUAAAUAAGUAAGUAAGUAAGUGGAACCUUAAUCAUAUAGUGACUAUAAAUGAAAUUUGAGAACAGAUUCUGUAAUACAUAAUGUUAAACAAAAAACAAAAUAAUAUUUACAUGUUCCUAGGCAGAAAUCAACACCUCCCUUUCUCCACUGCAAUAUGCAACUAGUUCCUCCAUCACCCGCCACCUCAAAUGAAAAGAUUAUACACAGCUGCACUAAUCCACAUUUUCAGACUCUUGCAGAAGGUCGACCGUAACAUUAUAAACUUGAAAUCCUAAAAAUCCUAAUUUGAAAUCCUAAAAAAAAAAAAAACAAUCCCAGAGUUACUUUACUCCUGUUUGAUUUCAACAAAACUGGAUGGAAUUUCACAAACAAGUAAGACAAGAGGGGCCGCUCACCCUGCAUACUUUUCCCACAAUGAGAACUAUUUGACAUCUCCUCUCCUUUUCUUAACAACUUUACGAUUUAAGAUGUAUCUGUGACAUAACUCAAAAAUUUAGUUUUAAUUCUUAUACUCGGGCUUUAUAUGGACAUACCUGAAUACAUGCCAGGACCAUUGAUUCUCAACCUGAGUCAUUUUUUUUUUAAAGGAGGUUGAUUACUUUAAUAUAAUAUCCAGGGAAAGGGGAAUAAGAUUGAAAAGUGCUAGUUUCAGGUUAACAGUAACAGAGUUGGAAGGGAUCUUGGAGGUCAUCUAGCCCAACCCCCUGCUCAUGCGUGUACUAGGGAUUCGAACCACCGACCUUUCUGAUCGACAAGUUCAGUGUUAAAAAUGCCACAUAUCUAUACUCAGGCUCUUGAGGCCUGAUGUAUUCCAGAAGCCUAGACUAGGCGCACCAACUUUAUUUAAAUCUACUUAUUUAUUUAUUUUGUCGAGUACAUAUUAGAUAACAUAUUACAAGUAUAAGCAUGAAUUGAAUACGUAAAACGAAUGCAAUUAAAGGGCACAUUAGGGCAGGGACGGUAGGCACGCUGGUGCUCUUAUGCACCUCCUUCUUCUCGCCCCCCAGCUGGGCGCAUGGAGGAGCCCCAUGCUCGCCUCCACGCCCUCCGCCCAUCCUUCAGUGGUCACUGCGGCAGCCUCCGCAGGGAAAGCUUCGUGCCGCUCGUAUCCGUGCCUGGCAUCCCGUUGCAGGGCAUUCGGCAGCCUCCGCCCGGCGUUCCCAACCGACCCACGGCAGCCUCUCACAAAGGAAACGCAGGACGCGAACACGAGAUGGCAGCCAUGUCAGCACCUUUGAGCCUCUCAUCAGAUUAAGCAAGGCCACCCCGAUCCACCAUGUCUUCUCCCUUCUGCAAAUUCCCAGUGAAAAUUCACAAGAGAAGAAUAUAUGUUUGCCACAAAAGUCCAAGUUUUUCGUGAUCGGGAGAUAAGCAUACCUCAUGAAACACUAAAGCGGUUCCACGCAAGAGGAACAAGAGAGAAUUGGAUAUGGUCAAAGCAAACAAUGGGUACAUCAGAGAAAAACUAUUUCCUCUGUUUUCUAAGGUGAUUUUCCACCGUUAUGUUCAAGAGCUCUCCAUUGUGCCCUCCACCAUAGUGAACUCCUAUGGUUAUUUAAAAGAUGCAGGGCUGUGAUAACCUUAAUAUGCUUGUUGAUUUUUCUUCAUGAAAGAUAAGUACAGACUUUAAUAUUCUGAAGCCCAAAGAUUACAUGUGAUUAUUCUUUGUAAAAAAUGAAAACAGGACAUUUUUCUUCUUCUAUGGCAAUGGUGAAUAAAUUCUAGGAUAUCUUUUGUGAUUUUCUAAUAAAGAACCAAAAAUCAGAACUGAUUCUUUUGGCAAAAAAAAAGAAGAAGAAGACGACGACGAAGGGGAGUGCAUUUCAAAUUUUGGAAAGAUUUUGGAAUUUUUGUGAGGCUCAUGGUGUCUAUUACGCCCAUUAUAUUCAGUUUGAAAAGCAUCACAGAAGAUUGAACAUUUCUCCCAGCCCAUUUUACAAGUAGUUCUUCACUUACAACUAUUCGUUUACCAACAGUUCAAAAUUAUGACAGCCUCGUAAAAAGUUACUUAUGACUUGUCCUCAAAAUUAUAAUAGUUAUACCAACCCUUGGUCAUGUGAUUGCCCUGUGGGCUCACAUUUAUGAUGGUGGCAGCAUCUUGUGGUUACAUGAUCGUGUUUUGCAACUUUCUGGCAAGGGGAAGCCAGAUUUGCUUAAUCACUGUGUGAUUCAUUUAACAACCAUGUGAUUUGCUUAAUGCUUGCAUAAAAUGGCUGUAAAAUCAGAUAAUGUGUGAUGUUUCUCGUAACAAACGCAUCACUCAGCAACUGAAAUUCUUGUGGUUAUAAAUUGAGGAGUACCUGUCGUGACAGAGAUAGGUUAUCUGCCAUGAUUGCUGCAACCAUUGGAUGCCAAAGACAUUUUUUUAAAAAAAAGGAAAAAUACAAUCUCUGGCCCCAAAUGAUUGUCUGCCUCUAUCUUAAUGGAACAGUACCCACAAUGAAUUAGAUGAGAUCUAUGCCAUGGGAAGGAAUUGAUUCCAAACAAGCAGAGCUAAUCCAAGCAUGCCAAGCAGUCAUGUAUUUACUGCAGCCGUGUUGUUUCAAAAUACCGUAAAUAUAAUGAAUUUAGUUGAUGCAUCCAUGUAUCAAAAUAUCUCUCUGUCUGGAUGCCUUGGAGAAGUACUGUAUGUUUUUAGUUUUCCCAGUAAUAAAUAUUAUCAAUGGAGAUUAUAAAAACUAAACCAAAAAAAAUCUAUUGACAAUAACUUUAGGGAAAAAAACAGUAUUCAACAAAGGGGGGAAAUCAAUAUAAAAUGUAAAAAAGAAAACUUUAUUACCCUACCAUACUAUGCAUAUUUUUAAAUCCUCAAACUAUAAAAUCUAAGGAGUCUGCUACUACUGUAGCAUUUUACUUUCUCUACAUGUAUAAGCAUUCAUUUUACUGGAAUGUUUUAUCAUAGAGUACUGUUACAAGUUGAGCACUGACUGCUUUGUUUUAUCUGGCACGCAAACUUGGGUUCUAUUAAAUUGAUAGAAUCUUGAUUUGUAACCACUCUAAUCAUACAUCUGAGAAAUUUAUACUUUUUGUGAGGUAAACUAAUUCAUCAGCGAGAGUAAUAACUUUGUUCCUAAUAUGAUAAUUUUUAUCACUGGGGAAAAUUAUACUUCCUUGACUGCUUCCCAGCAUACUUUUUGAAUAACACAAAAGAUAAAAAUAACAUAGCAAUCUGAGGAACUAAUAUUACUGGAAAGAAAACAGUAUGGUGGGAUGAGGGUUUGCAUAUUUCUGAUAUGGCCAGGAAAGAGGUGUUAAAUGUAUUGAAAUCAAAAUAGUUUAUAGUCGCACUGUAUUAAGUUUUAUUGACAAAAUUAUUUAUGUCCAACGAAUUAUUUUUAGGUUUAGGAUAUUAAAACCGAGAUGAACAUUAUCUGGUGGAGGUAAUUUCCAACAAAAUGAAUUUAAUUGCUUACAAAAUAUAUUUUCUUGGAAAUUACCUUCAUUGGAUCUAUAACAUUCAUUUGCAAUAGAUGGGCUCAGCAUUACCUACAGAGGCCAGAACAUUCCAAAAAUUAUCUAGGUCAUUGGAAUUGAAAAUAAUAUUACAAGAGAACUGUUUGUUUAAAAAAAUGUUACGGUCCCUGUUUUCUAGAAGGGAAGAAAGGGAAUGUAUUUACAGGUGGUAUACAAUACUGAAAAUGAAUUUGCACAUAUGAAAAUUAAUUGCAAUUUGAGAUCUAAAGACGGUAAAUUGGCUUAAACUUCAUCUGCAAUCCCUUCCACUUUUCUCAUGUGGCAUCAUAUGAAACCAUAGCUUCCUCUCUCCAUUUUACCUUUCGCAGAAAACCUAUGAAAGAUUUUCAGCAGUAACUUCAGGCUGGUGAAGAAUGUUGGUAUUAAGACAAUAACAUUCUUAGCAAAAGCUGGACCCGAGAAACGAAGAGGUGAAAAGUGACAGGCAUUCUGUACGCAGUAAGAAAGAUAUUUCUUAGCUUGGUUGCUACCUACUGAAGCUUGGCCUAUACUUUUUCCUUCUCCGUCUAGCCUUGGAAAACAGUAGCGUACCUAUCAAUACAAUGAUCAGAGGCUCAUUUACAAGCUGCCUAGUUUUCUGCCACAGCCUCUAAAUAAGAGAUUCUUCCUGGAGCUGCAGUGAUUGAAUUUUCAAUCAUUCAUUAAUCACUUUCAAUGUUAUCAGCUUAGCUAGUGUCAGGGCUUCAGCAAGAUCAGCACCUCCAGCCAUUAUUGGUCCUGCCAGCAAAGUACAAGCUUUUUAUAUUCUCAGCAGGGCCAUGUUCUGGCAUUAAAUACUAAUCUUAAAACCUCCAUGUUGUGAAAGAUUUUGUAAAAGAAAAGGGGAAAUGCUGUCAAAUACAUUAAAACAGAGAAUGCUUUGAAAAUAUACGUUUUUAAGGGCUAGUCAGAUCCCUACUUUUUAAAACCUUAAUUAUGAUUUUAUACAGAGAGGGAAUUUUUCCAUUUUGAUUCUAUUCUGAAUUCUAUUGCAUUGUGGAAUUUAAAUGAUUUAUUUCAUUUAAUAAAUAAAUAAAUGAUUUAUUUAUUUAUUUACCAGCUCACGCUGGUAAAGCCUGUUAUUAAGAACACAGUAGCCUGCAAUUACUGCAGGUUCGAGCCCGGCCCAAGGUUGACUCAGCCUUCCAUCCUUUAUAAGGUAGGUAAAAUGAGGACCCAGAUUGUGGGGGGGGCAAUAAGUUGACUUUGUAAAAAUAUACAAAUAGAAUGAGACUAUUGCCUUAUACACUGUAAGCCGCCCUGAGUCUUCGGAGAAGGGCGGGGUAUAAAUGUAAACAAAAAAAAAAAAAAAGCAUUAUGGAUACAACUAGAAAGCUGCUGUCUCUUCCUCUUAAUAACUUGACAGGGACUCAGUACUUCUUUUGGUUAUACAUCUGAUGAUUUCCUUCAUUAAAAAUUACAGACUCAUAAAAUAUUCUGAAUUUUUCAAUAAGAUGUGCAACAAUAGCUGGGUUUUGAUCUCUGUAUGUUGGAACGGACACUAAUAAAUAAAAUAUGUUUGGACAAGUUCUACAAAGACACCGUUGUGGUUUAAAGAGAGUAUUGGAGAGAAAAAAAUAAGAUCAAAAAUGUGUGAUAUCAAGUUACAUUCUGAAAAUUUAGAACCUAUUGAAGACUAACACAUUUAGAUUUAUUAAUUGUGGGCUGCAGCUAAGGAAGUUGAUUUACUUUGGUGUAUCUGCUUUGAAAAUCCUGGAUAUGUAUGCACUUUCUACAACACAAAUUGAACUUUUAUUAAUGUUGGAGAAUAUCUGAUCAAUAGGUUUCCAUGUGGUCAGUUUUAAAACUUGGGGCCCAUUGAAUUUAUUCUGCUACGUAUCAUUUUUUACUUUCUUUCUAGUUUUUUCCUUGACUUUCCUUGUGGGUUGUUCAUUUUGUAUUAGUUUAGAAUAGAAUAGAAUAGAAUAGAAUAGAAUAGAAUAGAAUAGAAUAGAAUAGAAUAGAAUAGAAUAGAAUAGAAUAGAAUAGAAUAGAAUAGAAUAGAAUAGAAUUCUUUAUUGGCCAAGUGUGAUUGGACCCACAAGGAAUUUGUGUUUGAUGCAUAUGCUCUCAGUGUACAUAAAGAGAAAAGAUACGUUCGUCAAGAAUCAUAAGGUACAACACUAAAUGAUAGUCAUAGGGUACAAAUAAGCAAUCGAAUCAUACUAGGAAACAAUCAAUAUAAAUUGUAAGGAUAUAGCAACAAGUUACAGUCAUGCAGUCAUAAGUGGGAGGAGAUGGGUGGUAGGAACAAUGAGAAGUUUAAUAGUAAUAGUAAUGCAGACUUAGUGAAGAGUUUGACAGUGUUGAGGGGAUUAUUUGUUUAGCAGAGUGAUGGCCUUCGGGGAAAAACUGUUCUUGUGUCUAGUUGUUCUGCUGUGCAGUGCUCUAUAGCGUCGUUUUGAGGGUAGGAGUUGAAACAAUUUAUGUCCAGGAUGUGAGGGGUCUAUAAACAUUUUGAAAGCCCACAGUUUUUGUAUUUCAUUCAGUUUUCUGCUUGGUGACUCAUUUUUAUUUUACUUUCUGUUAAUUAAAAUCAUUGCUUAAAAAAGAUUAUGACUAGGAUUAUGAUGGUAGAUACCGUGCUUAGCACACUCAAUAUUAUACUUAGAUAACUAAUUGCUCUAAUCAUAGGUCUCCAACCUUUUGACUUGCCUGACUCGCAUUGAGUAAAGAGAAAUUGUCUUGGUCCGCAUAUAAAAUAGACCGUAUAAUAUAGUUAAUGUAUACAAAUCACAUAGUAAUGUUAAAAGUUUACGAUCUUGUGGGACCGCAUUACUAGCUGUCCAGGGCCGCAUGCAGCCCACUAGCCAUGGAUGGGACACACUUGCUCUAGAUUCCUAUUUAUAAAACACUCCCCAUUUCUUCUA
This is a long non-coding RNA of Ahaetulla prasina, 7396 nucleotides long. RefSeq lists it as uncharacterized. The transcript has 3 exons. The record is from RefSeq and is a predicted model, not a curated record. Lineage: Eukaryota; Metazoa; Chordata; Lepidosauria; Squamata; Colubridae.